This is a long non-coding RNA of Bubalus bubalis (water buffalo), 2416 nucleotides long. RefSeq lists it as uncharacterized. The record is from RefSeq and is a predicted model, not a curated record. The transcript is spliced from 3 exons. NCBI's taxonomy places the organism in Eukaryota, Metazoa, Chordata, Mammalia, Artiodactyla, Bovidae.
CUUUCCGCGGCAGCGCCGUGGAGAGGAGGAGGUGGGCAGGGGAGGGGCUGCCAGGGAUGGGGCCGGGACUACCGGUCGAGCGGAGUCCGCUGGGAACGCGACUCCCAGGGCGGCCCGACCAGGAGGCGGCCUCUCAGGAGCUGGCUUGCCGUCCCUCCCGGGACCCCCGUCUGCUGUGCUGGGGGACAGCUUCUGAGGGUCCCCUCCUACCUGUCUCACAUACCCGGAACCUGAAAGAAUGGAAGAGAGCACCACUGUUCCCAGGCAGGGACACUCAUGAGGUCCACACAGCCACCCUUUAGGGGUCUUCCAGUUCAGCAAAUCAACUGCGGGAGCCUCCUGCUUCCACCAGAAGCGAGGACCCCUCCAUCCCCUGGACCUCCUGCACUUCAUGUCUUGGUGCCACUCCCUGGGUGGUGCUACUGGUAAAGAAGAACCCACCUGUCAAUGUGAGAAAUCUAAGAGAUGCAGGUCCCAUCCCUGAGUCUGUCAUAUACCCUGGAGGAGAUGCAUAGCAACCUGCUCCAGUAUCCUUGCCUGGAGAAUCCCAUGGACAGAAGAGCUUGAUGGGCUACAGUCCAUGGGGUCACACAGAGUUGGACAUGCCUGGAGCGACUGAGCACAGAUGCACCUGCACCUGUAAGACGGGAUGUUCAUAAUAGCACUAGGAUCAUGACAAGGUCUGAACGCAGUGACUCCUACAAAAUGUCUGGUACAGAAAUGGGCCUCGGCAAGUGGCAGUCUGAGGGCUGCUGGAGGGCAGGGGCUGGAUCUUCUUCACUCACCUCCCUGUGGUGCUCCAAGGCCUCAUGGGCACUCCCUGGAAAGGUGUUGAGCAAGCUGUGGCAGUUCUGCCUUGCCUGGCCAGCCGCAGUUCCCAAACUGGGCAGGGCUGAGCUUACAGGCUGCGGCUGGGGCUGGGGGAAGAGGGAGUCUCACCAGUGUGGGGUAGUAUUUCCAAAAGUCCCCACCACUGAGCCUAGUUUGGGUCUUUUUUAGAGCUGGGUGUGGAAAACUCCCUGCCUGGGUGCUGAACCCACAGACAGGAAUCAGCGUGCUUGGCCAUCCCCCUAGUUCAGUGGCAUCCACAAGAUGGCUGCUUCUGGAGGGCUGGGCAGAUGGGGCUGGAGCUCAGGCAGCCUUGAAACCCUCCUGCUAUUUUCCUAGUGACCCAGAUUUGUGGCCAGGUGCCGGUCUCACUCCUGGCUGGUUUGGCUGGAUCCAGGGUUUCCAGUUUUAGCAAAUAAAAAUACAGAAUGCCCAGUUCAAUUUAAAUGUCAGAUAAAUAAUGAAUAGUUUUGUAGGGUAAGUAUGGUCCAUUCCAUCUUUGGGACAUACUUACACUACGACAUUAUUUAUUGUUUCUCUGCAAAUCCCAUGUAACUGGACUCCCUGCAUUUUCCCUGGCAAACUUAGCUGGAGCUUGUCCAGACGCUGGGGACUGGAAGGGAUUCAAUCUUGGGGUGGCGGGGGGAGAGGUGGAGAGGGAGGGGACGGCUCCCACCCAAGGCACUUUGAAUUGAUUUCAGAACAAUGGCAGGGGUUGUUCUGUUUUUCUUUGCAUAGAAAAAGAGCAUUCCAUGUCACUCAAAAAGAAAACAGAGCGGUGGAUUGCAGCUCUGCCUUGCUCGACUGAUGUUGACCCAGAACAUGCCUAGACUCUGAAAGGGAUAUUGACUCUUAGACAAGUGGCUCUUUCAUCUUUCUCUGCACCUCGCCUUCUUAGGGUUGGUGCCCACCACCCCGUGGCCCUUUUGGAAUAUGCUUGGGAUGGGAUGUGCAGUGGCCAUUUGCCUCUCCAGAGGUCCCUGUUCUGCUGAGCUAUUCGGAUGCUCCAAGUACAAAGACCACUUGGUCAAGUGGCCUGAUUGGCAGGCUCAGGAACAGAUGUUAUAAAACAAAGAAGGGUAGUUCAAUUUCCUGAGCACCUCUGAAGCAUCAGGCCUUUUAUGUCACACAAGUUCUAAUCUUCACAACUCUGAGAAGCCAUGCCAUCAUUCCCAUUUGACAGAUGGGGAAACUGAGGCCCCUCAAGAAAAAAGCCUUGUGUGGGGUCAUACAGGAAGUGAGAGGUAUGGCUGUGGUUCAGACUUUGUUCUCUCUGAAUCCAGCACUUAAACUCUACCCCAUCCAUCCCCCUGCUCUGUGACCCUUGUGCCUACCAGCUUUCUGAAUCCAUGCUCCAGGUCUUGGUUUCCCUAUUUGGUAAAUGAGGGGUGGACAGAUGAAGUGAUUCUUGAGGUCUUUGCAAAGAUUGUCUUUAGGCACUUACCAUUUUCAUGCAUUUGCUAGUUGCUUGGCUUAAAACCCAACAUUAAAAAAAACUAAGAUCAUAGCAUCUGGUUCCAUCACAUCAUGGCAAAUAGAAGGGGGGAAAAGUGGAAGCAGUGACUUUCUUUUCUUGGGCUCCAAAACC